RNAcentral lists this transfer RNA (77 nucleotides) under Bacteroides sp. HMSC067B03. Its description in RNAcentral is "tRNA-Ile". It matches the Rfam family "tRNA". Rfam says of the family: Transfer RNA (tRNA) molecules are approximately 80 nucleotides in length. Their secondary structure includes four short double-helical elements and three loops (D, anti-codon, and T loops). Lineage: Bacteria; Pseudomonadati; Bacteroidota; Bacteroidia; Bacteroidales; Bacteroidaceae. The record is from RNAcentral.
UUCUGUAUAGCUCAGUUGGUUAAAGCGCUACAUUGAUUAUGUAGAGACCGGCGGUUCGAUUCCGCCUACAGGAACAA